RNAcentral lists this ribosomal RNA (683 nucleotides) under uncultivated soil bacterium clone C020. RNAcentral's name for it is "bacterial SSU rRNA". It matches the Rfam family "Bacterial small subunit ribosomal RNA", at positions 94 to 750 of the family's 1533-position model. The record is from RNAcentral.
AGUGGCGCACGGGUGAGUAACUCGUGAGUAAUUUACCUUCUCGGUGGGGAAUAACAACCGGAAACGGUUGCUAAUACCGCAUAACGCAGCGGAAUCUUCGGAUGACAGUUGUUAAAGCGGGGGAUCCGAAGCAAUUCGGACCUUGUGCCGGAAGAGAAGCUCGCGGCAGAUUAGGUAGUUGGUAGGGUAACGGCCUACCAAGCCUGCGAUCUGUAGCCGGCUGAGAGGGCGGUCGGCCACACUGACACUGAACAUACGGGUCAGACUCCUACGGGAGGCAGCAGUCGGGAAUUUUGGCAAUGGGCGCAAGCCUGACCCAGCAACGCCGCGUUAAGGACGAAGUUUUUCGGAAUGUAAACUUCACAAGACGGGGAAGAAUAUGUUAAGGCAAAUACCCUUGACGAUGACGGUAACCGUAGUAAGCUCCGGCUAACUCUGUGCCAGCAGCCGCGGUAAUACGGGGGGAGCAAGCGUUGUUCGGAUUUACUGGGCGUAAAGGGCGCGUAGGCGGUCGUCUAAGUCACUUGUGAAAUCUCCGGGCUCAACCCGGACCCUCCAAGUGAUACUGGCCGACUAGAGUGCGGAAGGGGCAACCGGAAUUCCUCGGUGUAGCGGUGAAAUGCGUAGAUAUCGAGAGGAACACCUGCGGCGAAGGCGGUUGCUGGACCGACACUGACGCUGAG